CAACGCUAGCAAGUGAAAUCAGAUUUUCCAUGUUUGGACCAAAUUUCUCAAAUUUCCUACUGGCAGGGGUCAAGCUCUAAUGAAAGCUUUUAAAGUUCAUGUGUGCCAGCUAAUUAGUUGUCUGGAGAACCCACAGAUCAUCUGUUCUGGCUCCAUCUCCUUAUCUCAGGAAGGAAGAAAAUGGCAUCCAGAAAACCAAAAGUGACAGGUCCCAGAACACAGCUGGGUGGUGGCCCAACAGACUGUUGCUGCAAUGUUGUCUUGCAUACAGUUUGCUGUCAAGAAGACUGACACCCACCUAAUUAUUUUCCUUUUGU
Molecule: long non-coding RNA, 317 nt
Organism: Myotis myotis
Lineage: Eukaryota; Metazoa; Chordata; Mammalia; Chiroptera; Vespertilionidae
Exons: 3
Source: RefSeq, a predicted model, not a curated record